RNAcentral lists this long non-coding RNA (1815 nucleotides) under Macaca fascicularis (crab-eating macaque). RNAcentral's name for it is "lncRNA (ENSMFAG00000059229.1)". Lineage: Eukaryota; Metazoa; Chordata; Mammalia; Primates; Cercopithecidae. The record is from RNAcentral.
GAGGUGGAUAGUCUGAGAAGCUCUUAAUACACAUGGGCUUACCAAGCACCAUAUCAAUGAUGGCAACAUCACCAGAUUUCAAGAAUUUAGGGCCAUCUUCCAGCUUUUUACCAGAAUAGCGAUCAAUCUUUCCCUUCAGCUCAGCAAAUUUGCAUGCAAUGUGAGCCAUGUGGCAAUCCAGUACAGGGGCAUAGCCAGCACUGACUUGGCCUGGAUGGUUCAGGAUAGAUCACCUGAGCAGUGAAUCCAGCUGCUUCCAUUGUUACCAUGACGAACAUCCUUGACAGACAUGUUCUUGACAUGGAAGCCCACAUUGUCCCCAGAAAAAGCUUCACUCAAAGCUUCAUGGUGCAUUUCGACAGAUUUUACUUCAGUUGUAGAGUUGACUGGAGCAAAGGCAACCACCAUACCAGGUUUGAGAACAACAGUCUCCACUCGGCCAUCAGGAACAGUACCAACACCACCAAUUUUGUAGACAUCCUGGAGAAGCAGGCUUGUCAGUUGGACGAGUUGGUGGUAAGAUGCAGUCCAGAGCCUCAGGCAGCGUGGUUCCACUGGCAUUGCCAUCCUUACGGGUGACUUUCCAUCCCUUGAACCAAGGCACGUUAGCAGUUGGCUCCAGCAUGUUGUCACCAUUCCAACCAGAAAUUGGCACAAAUGCUACUGUGUCGGGAUUGUAGCCAAUUUUCUUAAUGUACUGCUGACUUCCUUAACAAUUUCCUCAUAUCUCUUCUGGCUGUGGGGUGGCUCAAUGAAAUCCAUCUUGUUAACACCAAUGAUUAGUUGUUUCACAGCCAGUGUGUAAGCCAGAAGGGCAUGCUCUUGGGUCUGCCGAUUCUUGGAGACACCAGCUUCAAAUUCACCAACACCAGCAGCAACAACCAAGACAGCAGAGUGAGCCUGAGUUGUCCCUGUAAUCAUGUUUUCGAUGAAGCCUCUGUGACCUGGGGCGUCAAUGAUAGUCAUGCAGUACUUGCUGGCCUCAAAUUUCCACAAGGAGAUGUCAAUGGUGAUACCACGUUCACUCUCAACUUUCAGUUUAUCCAAGACCCAGGCAUACUUGAAGGAGCCCUUUCCCAUCUCAGCAGCCUCCUUCUCAAAUUUUUUAAUGCUUCUUUUGUUGAUGCCACCACAUUUGUAGAUCAGAUGGCCAGUAGGGGCGGACUUGCCCAAAUCUACUUGUCCACUGACGACAAUGUUGAUAUGAGUCUUCUCCUUUCCCAUUUUGGCUUUUAGGGGCAGUUUUCACGACACCUGUGUUCUGGUGGCAAACCUGUUGCGAAAAGCUAUGUGACAUUCUUGAGAAGAUAAAACCCUAGUGAUAGCACAUCUGUGUUUCAUAGUGGCUAGGGGUGAAAGGAAGGUGUGAUUAUCAUUGGUCUUUAUCUUGAUUUUGUUGCUGGUUACGGGAAUCUGUCUGUCUGUUUGAUUCACAGAACUGUACACAUUUCCUGAAAAUGUUCAUUUUAUUGUGUGAUCAUUCUAAAAAUUAAAAAAGAAUCGAAUCUCUAAAAAAAGAAAGGACUGGGCAUGGUGGCUCAUGUCUGUAAUCCCAGCACUUUGGGAGGUUGAGGCAGGCAGAUUGCUUUAGCCCAGGAGUUCAAGACCAGCCUGGAUAACGUGGUGAAAUCCCAUCUCUACUAAAAAUACAAAAGUUAGCCAGGCAUGGUGGUGCAUGCCUGUAAUCACAGCUACUCAGGAGGCUGAGGCAGGAAAAUCACUUGAACACAGGAGGUGGAGGUUGUAGUGAGCCGAGAUCACGCCACUGCACUCCCGACUGGGCAACAGAGUGACUCUGUCUCAAAAGAAAAAAAA